RNAcentral lists this ribosomal RNA (406 nucleotides) under uncultured bacterium. RNAcentral's name for it is "partial 16S ribosomal RNA". It matches the Rfam family "Bacterial small subunit ribosomal RNA", at positions 29 to 526 of the family's 1533-position model. The record is from RNAcentral.
AUUGAACGCUGGCGGCAGGCCUAACACAUGCAAGUCGAGCGGAGCGGCGGACGGGUGAGUAAUGCCUAGGAAUCUGCCUGGUAGUGGGGGAUAACGUCCGGAAACGGGCGCUAAUACCGCAUACUAUCAGAUGAGCCUAGGUCGGAUUAGCUAGUUGGUGGGGUAAAGGCCUACCAAGGCGACGAUCCGUAACUGGUCUGAGAGGAUGAUCAGUCACAGUGGAACUGAGAACACGGUCAGAACACCAAGGGCGGGAGGAGUGGGGAAUUAUUGACCAUGGGAGAAAGGCCUAUACAGCCAAGGCGGGUGUUGGGAGAAGGUUUUGGAAUUGAAAAGCCUUUUAGGUGGGAAGAGGUAGCCAACAAAAAAGCACCGGCUAACUUCGUGCCAGCCGCCGCGGUAAUUC